UAGGGAAUCUUCGGCAAUGGGGGCAACCCUGACCGAGCAACGCCGCGUGAGUGAAGAAGGUUUUCGGAUCGUAAAGCUCUGUUGUAAGUCAAGAACGGGUGUGAGAGUGGAAAGUUCACACUGUGACGGUAGCUUACCAGAAAGGGACGGCUAACUACGUGCCAGCAGCCGCGGUAAUACGUAGGUCCCGAGCGUUGUCCGGAUUUAUUGGGCGUAAAGCGAGCGCAGGCGGUUUGAUAAGUCUGAAGUUAAAGGCUGUGGCUCAACCAUAGUUCGCUUUGGAAACUGUCAAACUUGAGUGCAGAAGGG
RNAcentral lists this ribosomal RNA (309 nucleotides) under uncultured bacterium. RNAcentral's name for it is "partial 16S ribosomal RNA". It matches the Rfam family "Bacterial small subunit ribosomal RNA", at positions 355 to 656 of the family's 1533-position model. The record is from RNAcentral.